Molecule: long non-coding RNA, 1651 nt
Filed under: Olea europaea subsp. europaea
Lineage: Eukaryota; Viridiplantae; Streptophyta; Magnoliopsida; Lamiales; Oleaceae
Source: RNAcentral
AAUUUUUAACUUUAACUUAAAAUAAAAUUUGGAUUUUAGUUUCUAUCAAACGGGGCUAAAUUUUUAAGGUAAAUUGAAUUUUCCCCCCUUUAUUUUUCUUUCUAAAAGAAAUUUUCGUGUUUGGUGGAGAGAAGCAUGCUACAAUCUACAUCGAUGGCGGCACACCAAGGUACGGGAGUUAAUUGAAAAGGCAACACUUAGCCCCUCUCUCUUGCUCAUACCGUUACUAGCUCAAUCACGUGUUCAUAAUUUAGUUGGAGAUGAAGGCCAGAAGAAGAAGAAUUCUUCUCGAAUGCCCCCCACCCCGGGGGAAAACAGGGCCUAUCUGGCCCUGCAGCACGGCACCUAAAGUUUGAUCCUCCACUAGGUAGAAUACCUACAAAAUUUGGGCGUUGGAGCUAUAGAUCGAGGAAUAGGGUCUUAGAUGAUUUGUAAAACUAUAAGAUUGAUGAGAAAAGAAACUAUUUCGAUGUAUUACUAGCCCUGAACAUAGAUGGACAUAGCAGUACCAAAAAGUUAAAGAAAAGAUAAAUGAUUUAUUCAAGAAAGAGAGAUAAUCAUUGGCAAACUUUCAUUUUCCCCUCCUGUUUCUCCACGCAUAAUCAAGGAGAAAAUAAGGGAAAUCUUGUGCCAAUAACUUAUAGAACUCGCCUGAGAACAAAAUAAACAAAAGCUAAAGCCCAUAACAAGAUUGUUACAGCUUUUCAUAGAGGAUGUUUGAUAGCAGAACUAAUUGAACAAGUUGAGAAGCUUUGGUUCGUGGGAUUGCUGAUCUCUAAAAGUAGUUAUUACUGAUUCUUCAGAAUUCAUUGAUGGGCUCCCAAGUCGCCGAUUAGCUUCCUGUAAAGGGCUUCCUUUUUCACUCUGAAAAUUAGGGAUUAAACUGAGAUCAAGAUGAUCAGUUAAUUGUGUUGACCUUCAAAAAUGGUUCCUCCACGUGGCUAACUUAUAGCUACUCAAUGUAUUUCUCCCUGCGAAAUGAACAAACGGUCAGGCGCACACGGCCGGAACCGACGGGGGUGAUGGCGGCCGUAUACUCCGACGGUCAAGUCAGGUUUGAGUGGUCGGAACAGUGCCCAGGGGCUACACAAAUCAAUCAAUAAAGGGGGAGGAGAAUAUAUAAACUUGUUAUGGAAUGCUAUGUAUUGAGAAUUUCAUCCCCUUUACCUCUUGUCAAACCUUGGGUAUUUAUAGGUGGUGGAACCGCUGGAUGUGGGACGCGUGUGUACAUCUGACGGUAUGAAGCAUCUGCUCAUAGGCGUCAAUCAGCCGCGCUUGUAGAGUGGGCGGACAGUUUGUUUCCCCCGAGUUGAAUUGACAUAAAGUUGAUAAGUCACAUCAAAUAUCCUCAUGGAGACGUCAAAUCAAUUUAAGCCUUAGGUGCAGGACAAAUCUUAAAUUGACGGCGGAUCUUCUAACCGGGGUCCACUUGAUCUCGGCCUCGGUGGUGAGAUGACACUUCGGUAUCGAGGCGCGAAUAAUCGAUCUCGGCCUCGGUGGUGAGAUGGCACUUCGGUAUAUCGAGGCGCGAAUAAUCGAGGCGUAACAGUGGUCCCCCAAAUCCGGGAAUGAAUAUUUAUAUUAUGCGUGGAUUUGUUUUCCUGACCGGGCUGCGAGUCAUGGGACCUUUUGGGGGUCGAUUCGUCGCAGC